CUACGCCUACAUGAAGCUGGAGUUGCUAGUAAUCGCGAAUCAGCAUGUCGCGGUGAAUACGUUCCCGGGCCUUGUACACACCGCCCGUCACACCAUGAGAGUUGGGAAUACCCGAAGCCUGUGAGCUAACUUUUAGAGGCAGCAGUCGAAGGUAGAAUCAAUGAUUGGGGUGAAGUCGUAACAAGGUACC
RNAcentral lists this ribosomal RNA (190 nucleotides) under uncultured bacterium. Its description in RNAcentral is "partial 16S ribosomal RNA". It matches the Rfam family "Bacterial small subunit ribosomal RNA", at positions 1310 to 1500 of the family's 1533-position model. The record is from RNAcentral.